GUAGCUCAGUGAUAGAGCACUUGCCUUGCAUGCAUGAAGCCCUGGGUUCGAUUCCUCAGC
RNAcentral lists this transfer RNA (60 nucleotides) under Dipodomys ordii (Ord's kangaroo rat). It matches the Rfam family "tRNA", at positions 7 to 64 of the family's 71-position model. From Rfam's summary of the family: Transfer RNA (tRNA) molecules are approximately 80 nucleotides in length. Their secondary structure includes four short double-helical elements and three loops (D, anti-codon, and T loops). Further hydrogen bonds mediate the characteristic L-shaped molecular structure. tRNAs have two regions of fundamental functional importance: the anti-codon, which is responsible for specific mRNA codon recognition, and the 3' end, to which the tRNAs corresponding amino acid is attached (by aminoacyl-tRNA synthetases). tRNAs cope with the degeneracy of the genetic code in two manners: having more than one tRNA (with a specific anti-codon) for a particular amino acid; and 'wobble' base-pairing, i.e. permitting non-standard base-pairing at the 3rd anti-codon position. Lineage: Eukaryota; Metazoa; Chordata; Mammalia; Rodentia; Heteromyidae. The record is from Rfam by way of RNAcentral.